UUAAUUGAAGAGUUUGAUCAUGGCUCAGAUUGAACGCUGGCGGCAGGCCUAACACAUGCAAGUCGAGCGGCAGCGACUUAACUGAACCUUCGGGGAACGUUAAGGGCGGCGAGCGGCGGACGGGUGAGUAAUGCCUGGGAAUAUGCCCUGAUGUGGGG
This 158-nucleotide ribosomal RNA is filed under the name Photobacterium damselae. Its description in RNAcentral is "partial 16S ribosomal RNA". It matches the Rfam family "Bacterial small subunit ribosomal RNA", at positions 1 to 141 of the family's 1533-position model. Lineage: Bacteria; Pseudomonadati; Pseudomonadota; Gammaproteobacteria; Vibrionales; Vibrionaceae. The record is from RNAcentral.